AGUGAACGCUGGCGGUAGGCCUAACACAUGCAAGUCGAACGGCAGCACAGGAGAGCUUGCUCUCUGGGUGGCGAGUGGCGGACGGGUGAGGAAUACAUCGGAAUCUACUCUGUCGUGGGGGAUAACGUAGGGAAACUUACGCUAAUACCGCAUACGACCUACGGGUGAAAGCAGGGGACCUUCGGUCCUUGCGCGAUUGAAUGAGCCGAUGUCGGAUUAGCUAGUUGGCGGGGUAAAGGCCACAAAGGCGACGAUCCGUAGCUGGUCUGAGAGGAUGAUCAGCCACACUGGAACUGAGACACGGUCCAGACUCCUACGGGAGGCAGCAGUGGGGAAUAUUGGACAAUGGGCGCAAGCCUGAUCCAGCCAUACCGCGUGGGUGAAGAAGGCCUUCGGGUUGUAAAGCCCUUUUGUUGGGAAAGAAAUCCAGCUGGCUAAUACCCGGUUGGGAUGACGGUACCCAAAGAAUAAGCACCGGCUAACUUCGUGCCAGCCGCCGCCGUAA
RNAcentral lists this ribosomal RNA (505 nucleotides) under uncultured bacterium. RNAcentral's name for it is "partial 16S ribosomal RNA". It matches the Rfam family "Bacterial small subunit ribosomal RNA", at positions 29 to 523 of the family's 1533-position model. The record is from RNAcentral.